Molecule: long non-coding RNA, 1739 nt
Organism: Vidua macroura (Pin-tailed whydah)
Lineage: Eukaryota; Metazoa; Chordata; Aves; Passeriformes; Viduidae
Exons: 3
Source: RefSeq, a predicted model, not a curated record
CUGUAAUCCCUCCGUCCCCCCGUCUCUGUCAUCCCUGCGUCCCCCCAUCUCUGUCAUCCCUGCGUCCCCCCAUCUCUGUCAUCCCUGCGUCCCCCCGUCUCUGUCAUCCCUGCGUCCCCCCAUCUGCCUCAGCCCACACACGUGCCCGCCCCUUUCCUCCACAGGUGUCCAGCGGUGCCGAGUUUGGGGAUGGUUCAGUUGGUUGGUCACUCGGAAACAAGCGUCUCUCUGAAAAUAAGCUUCAAAUAAAAACAGCUGCCCACAGCAGUUCUGGGGGUAAACUGGACUCUUCCACCUGAUAGCCAGGGAAUGUCAGACAAGCUGAGGGAAGAAGGACUAUAAGGGCAGAUUAUGAAAAAUAAAGACCAUGUGAGGAGAAAGCCAAGCCGUACCAUUCAGGAGAAGUAGCUGCACAAAGGAGUGCUAUGGUCAAAUAAGUUUUUCCAAUGAGAUUUUGGAACAGCUCUCAAAGUACAGCAGUAUACAGCAUACCUUUCAUCUCAGGAUUGCAAGUCCUGCCAGCAAACCUGCUCUGGCUAGGGCUUCUCCUUCCAUGGGGCCACAGAUCCUGCCAGGACCCUGCUGCAGUGUGGACUUCUACCUCCUCUGGCCAUCCACCAGCUCUGGCAUGGAGUCCUUCAUCAGCUGGAGGUGGACAUCUGUUGCACCAUGGACAGCAGCAACAGAUGGACUGUUUGCCUCAAUGUGGUCUUCACAUGGGCUACUGGGAGAUUUCCCAGUGCCUGAAGCACUGCCUUCCCUGCUUCUUCACUGACCAUGGUGUCUGUGGAGCUGUUUCCUUUAUGUAUUCUUAGUCCUGUCUCCAGCUACUGCUCUGCAGCAGUUUUUUCACCCAUCUUAAAUAUGUUAUCCCAGAGGCAUUACAGCUGUCCUGAUGAACUCAGCUGGAGGCAGUUCCAUCUUGGAGCUGAUUGGCAUUGGUUCUGUCAGACAUGGGCGAAGUUUCUAGCAGCUUCUCACAGAAACCUUCCUUGUAGCCCCCUGGUGCCAAAACCUUGCCAUGCAAACCCAGUAGAGGCUUCUUGUCUGAAGAGAUGUGGUUUUGAUCCAUUGAGGUAAACAUGCUGAGGAUGCAUUACUGAGAGAAGACAUUCAUUCUGAAGACCUAUGAUUUUAGAGUUUAAAGGUUAAUAAAAUUUCCUUGGGAGGAGAUAAAAGCUUCAGACUGGUAUAAUUCUGCAUGUGGAAAGGAAAUUAAAAUUAUUCUUAUAUUGCUCCACAUUUAUAGAAUACUUGAGAUCAAAAGUGCUUCAAAAACUAUAUAUAGGGCUUGGUUCACCUGCUGAAGUCCUGUUUGUUGCAAGUACAAAGGCACUGAUUUGGGCAGACCCCAAGAGAAAAGUUAGAUAAGACACUAAACAUGUCUUGUGUCACAAACUUGUCACAAGUUUUCCAGAAGGAUAUGAUGCCUUUUUAUAUAUUUACUUAUUUAUGGCAACACAUAAAUUUUCACAGAUUGUCAUAGAGUUUAAAGAAAUCACUUAAAUUCUCUAAUGUGACCAUGUUGUAUAUCACAAUCCAGCAAUUUGUAUUUUAAGGGUAAAAAGUGAUUGUUAGACAUUAUUUCUAAUGGGAGAAUUAUGUGUGAUUGAUUCUUUUUGGCACAAAAAAGUUAAUAUUGCAUUCCUUGGAAAAGUCUGUAACUGUUAUGAAAUUGUAUGAAAGAUUGAUUUAAAUGUCUCCUCCAGCUGAUAAUAAAGCAAGAAUCUGAAACUCCA